Molecule: ribosomal RNA, 550 nt
Filed under: uncultured bacterium
Lineage: Bacteria
Description: bacterial SSU rRNA
Rfam family: Bacterial small subunit ribosomal RNA
Source: RNAcentral
UAGGGAAUCUUCGGCAAUGGACGGAAGUCUGACCGAGCAACGCCGCGUGAGUGAAGAAGGUUUUCGGAUCGUAAAGCUCUGUUGUAAGAGAAGAACGAGUGUGAGAGUGGAAAGUUCACACUGUGACGGUAUCUUACCAGAAAGGGACGGCUAACUACGUGCCAGCAGCCGCGGUAAUACGUAGGUCCCGAGCGUUGUCCGGAUUUAUUGGGCGUAAAGCGAGCGCAGGCGGUUAGAUAAGUCUGAAGUUAAAGGCUGUGGCUUAACCAUAGUACGCUUUGGAAACUGUUUAACUUGAGUGCAAGAGGGGAGAGUGGAAUUCCAUGUGUAGCGGUGAAAUGCGUAGAUAUAUGGAGGAACACCGGUGGCGAAAGCGGCUCUCUGGCUUGUAACUGACGCUGAGGCUCGAAAGCGUGGGGAGCAAACAGGAUUAGAUACCCUGGUAGUCCACGCCGUAAACGAUGAGUGCUAGGUGUUAGACCCUUUCCAGGGUUUAGUGCCGUAGCUAACGCAUUAAGCACUCCGCCUGGGGAGUACGACCGCAAGGUUG